RNAcentral lists this ribosomal RNA (253 nucleotides) under uncultured bacterium. RNAcentral's name for it is "partial 16S ribosomal RNA". It matches the Rfam family "Bacterial small subunit ribosomal RNA", at positions 524 to 776 of the family's 1533-position model. The record is from RNAcentral.
UACAGAGGUGGCAAGCGUUGUUCGGAAUUACUGGGCGUAAAGGGCGCGUAGGUGGCCCACUAAGUCAGACGUGAAAUCCCCCGGCUUAACCUGGGAACUGCGUCUGAUACUGGAGGGCUUGAGUAUGGGAGAGGGAUGUAGAAUUCCAGGUGUAGCGGUGAAAUGCGUAGAUAUCUGGAGGAAUACCGGUGGCGAAGGCGGCAUCCUGGACCAUUACUGACGCUGAGGCGCGAAAGCUAGGGGAGCAAACGGG